CCUGGUGCUUGCACCGGGUGGAUUAGUGGCGAACGGGUGAGUAUCACGUGAGUAACCUACCCUUGACUCUGGGAUAAGCCCGGGAAACUGGGUCUAAUACCGGAUAUGACCAGUCACCGCAUGGUGUGCUGGUGGAAAGCUUUAGCGGUUUUGGAUGGACUCGCGGCCUAUCAGCUAGACGGUGAGGUAAUGGCUCACCGUGGCGAUGACGGGUAGCCGGCCUGAGAGGGUGACCGGCCACACUGGGACUGAGACACGGCCCAGACUCCUACGGGAGGCAGCAGUGGGGAAUAUUGCACAAUGGGCGCAAGCCUGAUGCAGCGACGCCGCGUGUGGGAUGACGGCCUUCGGGUUGUAAACCACUUUCAGCAGGGAAGAAGCUUUUUGUGACGGUACCUGCAGAAGAAGCGCCGGCUAACUACGUGCCAGCAGCCGCGGUAAUACGUAGGGCGCGAGCGUUAUCCGGAAUUAUUGGGCGUAAAGAGCUCGUAGGCGGUUUGUCACGUCUGCUGUGAAAGCCCGGGGCUUAACCCCGGGUGUGCAGUGCGUACGGGCAGACUGGAGUGCAGUAGGGGAGACUGGAAUUCCUGGUGUAGCGGUGAAAUGCGCAGAUAUCAGGAGGAACACCGAUGGCGAAAGGCAGGUCUCUGGGCUGUUACUGACGCUGAGGAGCGAAAGCAUGGGGAGCGAACAGGAUUAGAUACCCUGGUAGUGCAUGCCGUAAACGUUGGGCACUAG
Molecule: ribosomal RNA, 738 nt
Filed under: uncultured Nesterenkonia sp.
Lineage: Bacteria; Bacillati; Actinomycetota; Actinomycetes; Micrococcales; Micrococcaceae
Description: bacterial SSU rRNA
Rfam family: Bacterial small subunit ribosomal RNA
Source: RNAcentral